GCAAGUCGAACGGGAAGGCGAACUUCGGUUCGCUGGAGAGUGGCGCACGGGUGAGUAACACGUAGCUCAUCUGCCCCGAAGAGCGGGAUAACGCACCGAAAGGUGUGCUAAUACCGCAUAAGCUCCCGGGUUGUAGAAACCUGAGAGAAAAGCUCCGGCGCUUCGGGAUGAGGCUGCGGCCCAUCAGCUAGUUGGUAGGGUAACGGCCUACCAAGGCGACGACGGGUAGGGGGCCUGAGAGGGUGACCCCCCACACUGGGACUGAGACACGGCCCAGACUCCUACGGGAGGCAGCAGUGAGGAAUAUUGCUCAAUGGACGCAAGUCUGAAGCAGCGACGCCGCGUGGGUGACGAAGGUCUUCGGAUCGUAAAGCCCUUUUCUUAGUGACGAGCAAGGACGGUAGCUAAGGAAUAAGUGUCGGCUAACUACGUGCCAGCAGCCGCGGUAAAACGUAGGACGCAAGCGUUAUCCGGAAUUACUGGGCGUAAAGCGCGCGCAGGCGGGUCAGCAAGUCAUGCGUGAAAGCUCCCGGCUAAACUGGGAGAGGUCGGAUGAGACUGUUGAUCUGGAGGAGGUCAGAGGAGUGUGGAAUUCCGCGUGUAGUGGUGAAAUGCGUAGAUAUGCGGAGGAACACCAGUGGCGAAGGCGGCACUCUGGGGCCUAACUGACGCUGAGGCGCGAAAGCAUGGGUAGCGAACGGGAUUAGAAACCCCGGUAGUCCAUGCCGUAAACGAUGUGUACUAGACGUUCGAGCGACUACGGUCGUUUGAGUGUCGAAGCCAACGCGCUAAGUACACCGCCUGGGGAGUACGGUCGCAAGGCUAAAACUCAAAGGAAUUGACGGGGGCCCGCACAAGCAGCGGAGCGUGUGGUUUAAUUCGAGGCUACGCGAAGAACCUUACCUGGGUUUGACAUGGCAGUGAAUGAAGCCGAAAGGUGGAAGUCCUUCGGGCGCUGUCACAGGUGCUGCAUGGCUGUCGUCAGCUCGUGUCGUGAGAUGUUCGGUUAAGUCCGAAAACGAGCGCAACCCCUAGGUUUAGUUACAAGUGUCUAAACCGACUGCCUGCGGCAAGCAGGAGGAAGGUGGGGAUGACGUCAAGUCAGCAUGGCCUUUAUAUCCAGGGCUACACGCACGCUACAAUGGCGCGUACAGUGGGCAGCGAACCCGCGAGGGGGAGCCAAUCCUGCAAAGCGCGUCGUAGUUCGGAUUGCAGGCUGCAACUCGCCUGCAUGAAGUCGGAGUUGCUAGUAACCGCAGGUCAGCACACUGCGGUGAAUACGUUCCCGGGCCUUGUACACACCGCCCGUCACGUCAUGGGAGCUGGUCACGCCUGAAGUCGGGAAGCUAACCGCAAGGAGGC
RNAcentral lists this ribosomal RNA (1362 nucleotides) under uncultured organism. Its description in RNAcentral is "bacterial SSU rRNA". It matches the Rfam family "Bacterial small subunit ribosomal RNA". The record is from RNAcentral.